This 446-nucleotide ribosomal RNA is filed under the name uncultured bacterium. Its description in RNAcentral is "partial 16S ribosomal RNA". It matches the Rfam family "Bacterial small subunit ribosomal RNA", at positions 338 to 795 of the family's 1533-position model. The record is from RNAcentral.
CCUACGGGAGGCAGCAGUCGAGAAUCAUUCACAAUGGGGGAAACCCUGAUGGUGCGACGCCGCGUGGGGGAAUGAAGGUCUUCGGAUUGUAAACCCCUGUCAUGUGGGAGCAAAUUAAAAAGAUAGUACCACAAGAGGAAGCGACGGCUAACUCUGUGCCAGCAGCCGCGGUAAUACAGAGGUCUCAAGCGUUGUUCGGAAUCACUGGGCGUAAGGCGUGCGUAGGCUGUUUCGUAAGUCGUGUGUGAAAGGCGCGGGCUCAACCCGCGGACGGCACAUGAUACUGCGAGACUAGAGUAAUGGAGGGGGAACCGGAAUUCUCGGUGUAGCAGUGAAAUGCGUAGAUAUCGAGAGGAACACUCGUGGCGAAGGCGGGUUCCUGGACAUUAACUGACGCUGAGGCACGAAGGCCAGGGGAGCGAAAGGGAUUAGAUACCCGAGUAGUC